RNAcentral lists this ribosomal RNA (497 nucleotides) under uncultured bacterium. RNAcentral describes it as "partial 16S ribosomal RNA". It matches the Rfam family "Bacterial small subunit ribosomal RNA", at positions 28 to 507 of the family's 1533-position model. The record is from RNAcentral.
GAUGAACGCUGGCGGCGUGCCUAAUACAUGCAAGUCGAGCGAACAGACGAGGAGCUUGCUCCUCUGACGUUAGCGGCGGACGGGUGAGUAACACGUGGAUAACCUACCUAUAAGACUGGGAUAACUUCGGGAAACCGGAGCUAAUACCGGAUAAUAUAUUGAACCGCAUGGUUCAAUAGUGAAAGACGGUUUUGCUGUCACUUAUAGAUGGAUCCGCGCCGCAUUAGCUAGUUGGUAAGGUAACGGCUUACCAAGGCAACGAUGCGUAGCCGACCUGAGAGGGUGAUCGGCCACAAUGGAACUGAGACACGGUCCAGACUCAUACGGGAGGCAGCAGUAGGGAAUCUUCCGCAAUGGGCGAAAGCCUGACGGAGCAACGCCGCGUGAGUGAUGAAGGUCUUCGGAUCGUAAAACUCUGUUAUUAGGGAAGAACAAAUGUGUAAGUAACUAUGCACGUCUUGACGGUACCUAAUCAGAAAGCCACGGCUAACUACGUG